UACGAAGGGGGCUAGCGUUGCUCGGAAUCACUGGGCGUAAAGCGCACGUAGGCGGCUUGUUAAGUCAGGGGUGAAAUCCUGGAGCUCAACUCCAGAACUGCCUUCGAUACUGAGAGUCUCGAGUCCGAGAGAGGUGAGUGGAACUGCGAGUGUAGAGGUGAAAUUCGUAGAUAUUCGCAAGAACACCAGUGGCGAAGGCGGCUCACUGGCUCGGUACUGACGCUGAGGUGCGAAAGCGUGGGGAGCAAACAGG
Molecule: ribosomal RNA, 253 nt
Filed under: uncultured bacterium
Lineage: Bacteria
Description: partial 16S ribosomal RNA
Rfam family: Bacterial small subunit ribosomal RNA
Source: RNAcentral